This is a long non-coding RNA of Etheostoma spectabile (orangethroat darter), 109 nucleotides long. RefSeq lists it as uncharacterized. The transcript is spliced from 3 exons. The record is from RefSeq and is a predicted model, not a curated record. Lineage: Eukaryota; Metazoa; Chordata; Actinopteri; Perciformes; Percidae.
AUGUGUAUAUAAUGACACAGUGUGUAAAGGUAGAUAAAAGAACAGCUAGAACUGUCUGGUAAGUUCAGGAAAUGACAUCACUUUACUGUAAUGCAGCCUGUAAAACCAG